Molecule: non-coding RNA, 161 nt
Organism: Vicugna pacos (alpaca)
Lineage: Eukaryota; Metazoa; Chordata; Mammalia; Artiodactyla; Camelidae
Source: RefSeq, a predicted model, not a curated record
AAAGGAUGUGCAGGAAGAAAAGAUCAGAAUGUAAGAUGAACUAUAGAACUGGAGAAUGGGGCCUAUUUCUGUGCAAUCAGUUCACUGAAGCUGCAAGUUCAAUGCGAUAGGAUAUUAUGGAGGUGGCAAGAGGCAGGAUGAGGAGAUCUGAAGGAGCACAC